Molecule: small RNA, 85 nt
Filed under: Sinorhizobium meliloti 2011
Lineage: Bacteria; Pseudomonadati; Pseudomonadota; Alphaproteobacteria; Hyphomicrobiales; Rhizobiaceae
Description: putative ncRNA
Source: RNAcentral
GUUUGGUUUCGUCGCAGUUGUCCGGAAAUUGCGGCAAUCCUUUGAUUGGGCUGGAAAAUAGGCGCUAUCGAAGGUAGUGCGUAGU